RNAcentral lists this ribosomal RNA (467 nucleotides) under uncultured bacterium. RNAcentral describes it as "partial 16S ribosomal RNA". It matches the Rfam family "Bacterial small subunit ribosomal RNA", at positions 28 to 506 of the family's 1533-position model. The record is from RNAcentral.
GACGAACGCUGGCGGCGUGCUUAACACAUGCAAGUCGAACGGAAAGGCCCUGCUUUUGUGGGGUGCUCGAGUGGCGAACGGGUGAGUAACACGUGAGUAACCUGCCCUUGACUUUGGGAUAACUUCAGGAAACUGGGGCUAAUACCGGAUAGGAGCUCCUGCUGCAUGGUGGGGGUUGGAAAGUUUCGGCGGUUGGGGAUGGACUCGCGGCUUAUCAGCUUGUUGGUGGGGUAGUGGCUUACCAAGGCUUUGACGGGUAGCCGGCCUGAGAGGGUGACCGGCCACAUUGGGACUGAGAGACGGCCAAGACUCCAACGGGAGGAAGGAGUGGGGAAUAGUGCACAAUGGGCGGAAGCCGGAUGCAGCAACGCCGGGUGCGGGAUGACGGCCUUCGGGUUGUAAACCGCUUUCGCCUGUGACGAAGCGUGAGGGACGGUAAUGGGUAAAGAAGCACCGGCUAACUACGU